Molecule: ribosomal RNA, 389 nt
Filed under: uncultured bacterium
Lineage: Bacteria
Description: bacterial SSU rRNA
Rfam family: Bacterial small subunit ribosomal RNA
Source: RNAcentral
AUUGAACGCUGGCGGAAUGCUUUACACAUGCAAGUCGAGCGGCAGCGCGGGGCAACCUGGCGGCGAGCGGCGAACGGGUGAGUAAUGCAUCGGAACAUGUCCAUGUCGUGGGGGAUAGCCCGGCGAAAGCCGGAUUAAUACCGCAUACGCCCGAGAGGGGAAAGCCGGGGACCGCAAGGCCUGGCGCGAUUGGGUUGGCCGAUGUCCGAUUAGCUAGUUGGUGGGGUAAAGGCCCACCAAGGCGAUGAUCGGUAGCUGGUCUGAGAGGAUGAUCAGCCACACUGGGACUGAGACACGGCCCAGACUCCUACGGGAGGCAGCAGUGGGGAAUUUUGGACAAUGGGGGAAACCCUGAUCCAGCCAUUCCGCGUGAGUGAAGAAGGCCUCGG